GCCCCUGUAGCGCAGUGGAUAGCGCGUCGAUUUCCUAAAGGAAAAGAAAAUAGUCGAAGGUCUCGGGUUCGAAUCCCGACUGGGGUG
This 87-nucleotide transfer RNA is filed under the name Auxenochlorella protothecoides. It matches the Rfam family "tRNA". Rfam says of the family: Transfer RNA (tRNA) molecules are approximately 80 nucleotides in length. Lineage: Eukaryota; Viridiplantae; Chlorophyta; Trebouxiophyceae; Chlorellales; Chlorellaceae. The record is from Rfam by way of RNAcentral.